Molecule: non-coding RNA, 715 nt
Organism: Peromyscus maniculatus bairdii (prairie deer mouse)
Lineage: Eukaryota; Metazoa; Chordata; Mammalia; Rodentia; Cricetidae
Source: RefSeq, a predicted model, not a curated record
UGUAUGGGUGUUUGGACUGUGUGUAUAUCUGUGCACCACGUGCCUGUCCAGAGAAAAGGGCAUUGGGUCCCCUGAAACUGGAGUUACAGAUGGUUUUGAGCUGCCACAUGAGUGGGAGUCAUCCCAAAUCUUCUGGAAGAGAAACCAGCUCUCUUAGCCAGGAAGACUUCGCCUAAGGUUUCUCUCUGCAUUCCCCACUCCACACCUCCUGUUUUUUGAGGUAGGAUCUUCCUCUGAAGUCCAAGCUGGCCUAGAGCUUGAAACCCUCCUGCAGUUACUGACACAGGAAAAUUCUCACAUCAAUUUCAAGUUAAAUCAUUGAGAUUCAGUGUCAUUAUUAUGGAGCUAGAGAGAGAGGGCAAGAGUUCAAAUCCCCAGAGCUCAUGUAGUACUGGGUGCAAGUCUGUAAUCACAGUGUUCCUGCUGGGAGAUUGGGACAGGAGAAGAAUUCUGUUGUACUUUCCUGUUGUAGUCUUGAAUGACUAGGCAAGAUCCAAGACUGAGUUUGUCCUCUGAGGCUAACCUGCAGCUGUGGCAAACCCAUGGCUACACAGGGAUUCUGGGAACCCAACUAGGAUCCUCUGUAAGAGCAAUAAGCAGCCUUAACUCUUGCUGUAUGUAGCUUCUGGCUCCAGUUUUGGGAUAAAAAUGUAGCUAGAGUUUUCCUGCCUUGCCCACAGUCAGGACAAAUCUUUCUCACCCGCCUGUCCCACAG